GCCUUUUCAAAUCUUUUUUUCUGUUUAUUGUUUUUCAGUGUGUUUUUUUUCUGUCAACAAAUCAAUAACUACUAGUAACUUAUAUAUGAUUAAAAUAAAGACAAAUGGUAAUCAAUUGUGUACUAAUUAUGUAUCAUGACCUGUUGUAGUUCUACUAGUAAAUCGGACAGACAGGACUAUAAUAGGAAUAUGGUAAGGUGUCGCAUAAGUACAUU
Molecule: long non-coding RNA, 215 nt
Filed under: Mytilus galloprovincialis (Mediterranean mussel)
Lineage: Eukaryota; Metazoa; Mollusca; Bivalvia; Mytilida; Mytilidae
Source: RNAcentral